UAAUACGUAGGAGGCGAACGUUAUUCGGAUUUACUGGGCGUAAAGGGAGCGUAGGCGGUUGCUCAAGUCGAAUGUGAAAUCUUCUGACUCAAUCGGAAGGCGUCAUUUGAUACUGAGGGACUUGAGAGCAGCAGAGGGAAAUGGAAUCUCCAGUGUAGCGGUGAAAUGCGUAGAUAUUGGAGAGAACACCAGUGGCGAAGGCGAUUCCCAGGCUGCUUCUGACGCUGAGGUUCGAAAGCGUGGGGAGCGAAGCGGAUUAGAUACCCGCGUAGUCCACGCCUUAAACGGUGGACACUAGAUAUAGGAGGUAUCGACCCUUUCUGUGUCGAAGCUAACGCUUUAAGUGUCCCGCCUGGGGAGUACGGCCGCAAGGCUG
This 376-nucleotide ribosomal RNA is filed under the name uncultured bacterium. RNAcentral describes it as "bacterial SSU rRNA". It matches the Rfam family "Bacterial small subunit ribosomal RNA", at positions 521 to 896 of the family's 1533-position model. The record is from RNAcentral.